Molecule: ribosomal RNA, 454 nt
Filed under: uncultured Syntrophus sp.
Lineage: Bacteria; Pseudomonadati; Thermodesulfobacteriota; Syntrophia; Syntrophales; Syntrophaceae
Description: bacterial SSU rRNA
Rfam family: Bacterial small subunit ribosomal RNA
Source: RNAcentral
CACAAGCGGUGGAGCAUGUGGUUAAUUCGAUGCAACGCGAAGAACUUACCUGGCUUGACAUCCCGGGAAUCCCCUGGAAACAGGGAGUGCCCUUCGGGAACCCGGUGACAGGUGCUGCAUGGCUGUCGUCAGCUCGUGUCGUGAGAUGUUGGGUUAAGUCCCGCAACGAGCGCAACCCUUGUCUUUAAUUGCCAUCAUUUAGUUGGGCACUUUAAAGAGACUGCCGGUGUUAAGCCGGAGGAAGGUGGGGAUGACGUCAAGUCCUCAUGGCCUUUAUGCCCAGGGCUACACACGUGCUACAAUGGGCGGUACAAAGAGAUGCCAACUCGCGAGAGCGCGCCAAUCUCAGAAAGCCAUCCUCAGUUCGGAUUGGAGUCUGCAACUCGACUCCAUGAAGUUGGAAUCGCUAGUAAUCGCGGAUCAGCACGCCGCGGUGAAUACGUUCCCGGGCCUU